Molecule: long non-coding RNA, 865 nt
Organism: Brachypodium distachyon (stiff brome)
Lineage: Eukaryota; Viridiplantae; Streptophyta; Magnoliopsida; Poales; Poaceae
Exons: 3
Source: RefSeq, a predicted model, not a curated record
GCGGCGCAUCGGCUUCCGGCCCACCAUUAUCUUCCUAUCUCGAGCCCUCGAGGAGUUCGUCGCUGUGUGCCUGUGUGGUGCUGGGAUUUCGAGGUGCGGGUGACCUGUUAAGGCUCGUCUUCUGUUACAGCUUUUGCAGACUAGCUACAUUCAGCUUUCUUACAACAACUUCAUUUGCAGUUGAAGGCCAAAAAUAGGGUGCAAUUUUCAGCACAGAUUAUUACUUCAAUUCUAUCCCUUUUGAUAGUGAUGCUAAAGAGAAGCUCCAGUAUGUUGCAAUUUGACAGGUCAUGAGAGCUGCCAGAGUUACAACAGGAAAACAAAAGGUGGCCCUUUUAUCAUUAUACACAGCAUUUUGAUUUGAUUACUUAUCUCAUGAAGUUCUGUCCAGAAUUUCAGGCUUGACAAACAAGGGCGUGAAACAUUUAGUUACACGAAAUUUCAACCAACUUAUAGUAUCUUUAUGGUAAUAUUGGCAACUGUAAUCGAUAGAAAACAUGGCAAGCAUGGUGGGUAAAUCUUUUGCACGUUUUUCUUAAAUUAUGACAUCAAAGACUAUAAGGUUUAGUAACUUCCAAUAUCUUGAAUAAAAAAGAAGGGAUAAAGAAGAGGACAGCACCAUCUCACAAACAUUUGAUAAUUUUCUCACCUGAUCCUGAUGAAGUCAAAUUGGUUUGCGGAGUUUGUGAAAAAUUGCACGGACAUAUGAACUGGGGCUGCAAUUGGAUUGGCUGCUGGGAGUCGUGGUAGCCUGGGUGUGUGGCAUCACAAUGUUCAUAUGAACUUCCAUAGUAUCUACCUGCAUUCUGCAUGUUUUGUAGUGGUCUCUGUAAAUAAUUCUUUUCUAAUAGAGAUGGAAAAUGGA